GCGUUAACGAACGAGACCUCGACCUGCUAAAUAGACCCAGCAACUUUUCGGAGUUGACUUGGAGCUUCUCUUCUGUUUUGGUCCCUUGAUUCUUUUUUUUAAAAAGGGUUUAGUGGGUCAAGGCAGAGGGGUCUCCGCUUGGGCUUUACCGCCUUUGGGGCGCUUCUUAGAGGGACUAUCGGUGUAUCCUAGCCGAUGGAAGUUCGAGGCAAUAACAGGUCUGUGAUGCCCUUAGAUGUUCUGGGCCGCACGCGCGCUACACUGACGCAUUCAUCAAGCUUUUUUUCACCUUGGCCGAGAGGUCCGGGUAAUCUUUAGCAAAGUGCGUCGUGCUGGGGAUAGAUCAUUGUAAUUAUUGAUCUUCAACGAGGAAUUCCUAGUAAACGCAAGUCAUCAGCUUGCAUUGAUUACGUCCCUGCCCUUUGUACACACCGCCCGUCGCUAAUACCGAUUGAAUGGAUC
RNAcentral lists this ribosomal RNA (462 nucleotides) under Eukaryota sp. RNAcentral's name for it is "SSU rRNA". It matches the Rfam family "Eukaryotic small subunit ribosomal RNA", at positions 1325 to 1699 of the family's 1831-position model. The record is from RNAcentral.